CCUACGGGAGGCUGCAGUGGGGAAUAUUGGACAAUGGGGGGAACCCUGAUCCAGCCAUGCCGCGUGUGUGAAGAAGGCCCUCGGGUUGUAAAGCACUUUCAGUGAGGAAGAACGCCUGGUGGUUAAUACCCAUCAGGAAAGACAUCACUCACAGAAGAAGCACCGGCUAACUCCGUGCCAGCAGCCGCGGUAAUACGGAGGGUGCGAGCGUUAAUCGGAAUUACUGGGCGUAAAGCGCGCGUAGGUGGCUUGAUAAGCCGGUUGUGAAAGCCCCGGGCUCAACCUGGGAACGGCAUCCGGAACUGUCAAGCUAGAGUGCAGGAGAGGAAGGUAGAAUUCCCGGUGUAGCGGUGAAAUGCGUAGAGAUCGGGAGGAAUACCAGUGGCGAAGGCGGCCUUCUGGACUGACACUGACACUGAGGUGCGAAAGCGUGGGUAGCAAGCAGGAUUAGAUACCCUAGUAGUC
This 465-nucleotide ribosomal RNA is filed under the name Vreelandella stevensii. Its description in RNAcentral is "partial 16S ribosomal RNA". It matches the Rfam family "Bacterial small subunit ribosomal RNA", at positions 338 to 795 of the family's 1533-position model. Lineage: Bacteria; Pseudomonadati; Pseudomonadota; Gammaproteobacteria; Oceanospirillales; Halomonadaceae. The record is from RNAcentral.